RNAcentral lists this long non-coding RNA (571 nucleotides) under Ananas comosus (pineapple). RNAcentral describes it as "long non-coding RNA (ACOM_LNC007933)". The record is from RNAcentral. Lineage: Eukaryota; Viridiplantae; Streptophyta; Magnoliopsida; Poales; Bromeliaceae.
UAUAUAUAUAUAUAUAUAUAUAUAUAUAGAGAGAGAGAGAGAGAGAGAGAGAGAGAGAGUCUGGCUAGUAUACUAUCGAUAGUACCAAGCUGUUGAUACUAUUGAAUUUUUUGCCGUUAGAUCUACCCUUUGAUCAUUUUCAUCCGUUAGUUUAUAUUUUUCAAUCUACCAUCCGGCCACUCAACCCUAGAAGAUCAUUAUUAUUUUAACUGUACAUUUUUUCAUCCAAUGGCCAAAACUCAAUAGCACCAAACGUUUGGUACUAUCGAUAGUAUAAUAGCAUAUUCUAUAUAUAUAGAGAGAGAGAGAGAGUUGGGUUAGAAUACUAUUGAUAGCAAAAGACCUUUUUUUGCUAUUAAGUUUUUAGCCUUUGGAUCAAAUUUUUUUUAUCAUUUCUAAUUAUUGGAUUAAAUAUUAAUUAUAACUCAGUAGCGAUCACUCAACCCUAGGGGGACCACUCAACACUACGGGACUAAUAUCAUUCCAUCUCUACAAUUUCUCAUCCAAAAAUUAAAAACUUGAUAGCAAAAAGAAUCUUUUGCUAUCAAUAGUAUUCCAACCUUUCUCUCUC